Molecule: ribosomal RNA, 1010 nt
Filed under: Triticum aestivum (bread wheat)
Lineage: Eukaryota; Viridiplantae; Streptophyta; Magnoliopsida; Poales; Poaceae
Description: partial small subunit ribosomal RNA
Source: RNAcentral
CUCUCUUGCAUUGGUGCCGUGCACGUCUGACGCUACGCAUAAUAUUCUCCUCAAGUGGAGGUAGUGGGUUUAUAUAACUCAAGAACUGGUUGACGCGCGUGGAGUAGCUCGGACGGAUUGGGGCGGGCGGGCGAUUUGGGAUGGGAUGAGUGGCCGCCGUCUCCAAAAGCACUCGAGCAGGCUGUUACCGCAGGGAAACUCUUGAGCACGCUCCAGCCCCACAAGCGCUCCGAGUGGUUGCGGAUGACGGAGCAGGGCCGGCCACCCCGCCUCUUAAAGUGGUCACACAAACUCCGGCUCGAGCGGCUGUGGCAGGGCCACCAGUUCCGUAGGUAGCCGCCGUACUCCUAGGAGUCCUGUAACACGCACCCGUUGUUCUUCCCGGAAGAAGAUGGUGUGUGGUGAUUGCUGGUUCUCGAGGUCGUGGAGUUCUUAUCGGACGGACUACUCCACCAGCAGGUCGCACAGCUGCUCGCCGAGAGGCGGGAGCCGUUGACGUAACGGACGUUGCUGGUGCACCGAGAGUGUUUUGGUCUAGAGUGGUUCCUUUGGCUCCUCUAGUAGAGCCUGCAAGAACCCCACCUCCACAAGUCCGUCUGGUAGCGUCCCUCGUAGGACCAGCCGUCGAGGACGCGGAAGAGGUUGUUUCCCCCUGAACAAGUGGGCGUCUGCAGCCACCUCCUGGACCUGCUCGACAGCUGCGACGACGUCCACGGGGAGCAGCGGCCGUGGCAGUUGGCCCCCUCGCUACCGUAGCGCCGGCCGUACCACCAGUUGCUGACCCGCCGGAAGACGCCAAGGCUGUGGUGCCGGUGGCUCGAGAGUCACCACCUCUCGCAGAAGUCCGACUCCCUGCGGGCCGGCCCCCGUAACCCGCGGCUGCAGUCCUUUAGGAACCAACUUUCGACGAAAGAAGUCCCCUUAAAACGGAAGGGAACGACAUAGACACAAACAGUACUUUAUAAGAGUUGAUCAUGAGGGAGGCAUUUGUUUGUUCAUUACAUUUGCGA